UUUGAGUCUGUUGUGCGCGUGAGGGAUGUAACGGAAAUCCUUUUUUAUUCUUUUUUUCAAGAAUAAAAAAGAUUGGGAGUGAAAGCCCGACCCGGA
RNAcentral lists this small RNA (96 nucleotides) under Flavobacterium sp. 11. RNAcentral's name for it is "Flavo-1 RNA". It matches the Rfam family "Flavo-1 RNA". The record is from RNAcentral. Lineage: Bacteria; Pseudomonadati; Bacteroidota; Flavobacteriia; Flavobacteriales; Flavobacteriaceae.